CUCUGGCUUCACCUUUCAAAACAUCUGUUGCAGACCUAAGAGCAAGGGCUAUAUUAGAUUAAAAAGUAGCAAUUAUCAUGAUAAGCCAAUCAUAUCAACUGGCU
RNAcentral lists this non-coding RNA (104 nucleotides) under Chloropicon mariensis. The record is from RNAcentral. Lineage: Eukaryota; Viridiplantae; Chlorophyta; Chloropicophyceae; Chloropicales; Chloropicaceae.